This 424-nucleotide ribosomal RNA is filed under the name Deraeocoris olivaceus. RNAcentral describes it as "partial 16S ribosomal RNA". The stretch from base 297 to 424 matches the Rfam family "Bacterial large subunit ribosomal RNA", at positions 2473 to 2600 of the family's 2925-position model. Lineage: Eukaryota; Metazoa; Arthropoda; Insecta; Hemiptera; Miridae. The record is from RNAcentral.
GUCUUUUAAUUGGAGUCUAGAAUGAAUGGUUGGAUGAGGGGUGUACUUUCUUUAUUUUAAGUGUAGAAUUUGAUUUUUAUGUUAAAAAGCAUAGAUAAUAUUAUAGGACGAGAAGACCCUAUAGAACUUUAUUAUAUAAGUUUUUAUAACUAUUUUUAGUAUAUUAUUAUAUAUUUUAUCUUUUAUAUAAUUUGAUUGGGGUGAUGAAAAAAAACUUAUAACUUUUUUUAUUUAUAACGAAUUAUGCGUGUAUAUUUGAUCCUUUUUUAAGGAAAAAAAGACUAAGUUACCUUAGGGAUAACAGCGUUAUUUUAUCAUAGAGUUCAUAUCGAUGAUAGAGUUUGCGACCUCGAUGUUGGAUUAAAAUAAGUGGCAGGAGUAGAUUAUUGCUUACUAGGUCUGUUCGACGCUAUAAAUUUUUACA